Molecule: RNA transcript, 1424 nt
Organism: Phalaenopsis equestris
Lineage: Eukaryota; Viridiplantae; Streptophyta; Magnoliopsida; Asparagales; Orchidaceae
Gene name: epimerase family protein SDR39U1 homolog, chloroplastic-like
Source: RefSeq, a predicted model, not a curated record
UCGCUCCCGGGUCGGACACGAUCGCCAUUCAGCUGCAUUUCUUCACAAUAUUACUAUUUUACCCCGUUCUAUCUUCAAGCUAAACUCCUCGGCCUCUCCUCCUCACUCGAGUUCUCUCGCUUUUCCCCAAUGGUGUUAUGCAGAGCUCCGCUUUCGCUCUUCAUCGCAUCGCCGGUCGACAACAGCGCUAACUCCUUAACACCAUCGAUCUCUUUAUUCCACAUUUCCUCUCCUCUAAACAGCCAUCCGGAUCUGCUGCGGCGCAGCUCCAAUCGAGGGAGAGUUGUCUGUAUCAGCGACACCAACGGAGGCUUCGUAGCUUCGCAAUCCUCCAAGAUGAUCAUAUUGUCCGUAUUUUAACAAGAUCGAGGAGAAAUGCACUGCUAGUUUUUCCUGGGCGAAGGUUUCCUGAGAUUGUGAUUGCGGAAGAAGAAGGGUGGAAUAAGUGUAUUGAAGGUUCAAAUGCUGUUGUAAACUUGGCUGGAAUGCCCAUAAGUACUAGAUGGUCAUCUGAGGUCAAGAAGGAAAUUAAGCAAAGCCGAGUCAAAGUUACUUCUAAGGUGGUUGAUCUGAUUAAUAAGAUGAAUUCCAGUACACGGCCUUCUGUUCUGAUCAGCGCAACAGCAAUUGGCUAUUAUGGACCUCAGGUUCCCCUUUUAAGGUUGAGUUUGGGAGAGGUGCAAAUGAACACAAGAGGACUGAGAAUUGAGGUUACAACUGAUGAUGGAACCUUGUAUGUAAUGGCCUUAUCUACUCGAUUAUGGCUAUAAUAAACUCAACGUAGAGGAAACUGAGUUGGAGAAGAGGGAAUGAAUUAAGUUUGGAGGUCUCUCCUUGCAUCAUCGUCAUCUUUAUCUUAAUGGACACAAGAAGGUUCAAGAUUUUAAAUAAAAGAUAGAUACUAGAGGAGCGAUUGCUUACAAAAGACGAGAUCGACAACCCGAAAGAUAAACUUUUCUUUGUUAAUUAAAUUAUUUUUUGUAUUGGCUCUUCUAAUUAAUAUUUGGAUGGUAAACUGUUAGUGAUAGAAAAUGAAAAUAGAAAAUUUUAAUUUCAUCAUCCGACCAUCCUAUUCUCAUAUUGGAAAUUUCAAGCCCUCCAGCCGGAUCGUGACACAUUUUAGACAUUAAUUGAUUAGAUCUGGAAAGAAUAGAGAGUGAAAUUACAUAAGAGCAUGGUAUUGUGGUAAUGCAAAUGGAACUUACUUCAUCGCAACGAUUCUUCCCCGUUCAAGAAAUGAUUGUUUCUUGGGGCAUUUACAUAUAGUACACAAUUCUUAUGUAUUUAAAUAUCUCACACCUAAACAUUCAAACUUACAAACAUAUCACUCAAAUCAUAAUAUAACAUCUGGUAUUGCCAUUUUUAAAAGUCAAAUACACCUUUUCAUGCAAAGGUUUAAAGUGCACCAAAGUGUUAUGUGUAAA